ACUCUUGCUUGCUAGCUAGCUAGCUAGCUAGCUAGCUAGCUAGCUAGCUAGCUAGCUAGCUGUCUUUGCUGGUUGUUAGUUUGCAUAACUGAUAUGUGUAUAAUUGCAAGGGACACUUCAUGUUUUAUGGAUAAUAUAAAAAUGUACAGAGUUCCUGACAGGCUGAUCAGAUUCAAUAGCAGCCUCUGAGGUUGAUAUGUUAGGAUUCUGCCUUGUAGGCUGUUUCAUAAGCAAAGCUCCUUGCAGGCAGAUUAGCAGUCAGUGCAUCAUGUAGAUGAUCAUGAGUGGGUGCGCUCUAUUCCUGACAGGCUGCUCAGAUUCAAUAGCAGCAUCAGAGGCUGAUGUCAGAAUGCUCUAUAUAUUGAUAAACGUCACAUUGUAUUUACCCCUCCCAAAAAGGAAAUGCUAAUUAGCGGCUUAUGUGGCUAUCAUACAGAACUACAAAUGCCCUUCUCAAGCUUCACGUCAUUUACCAUGGCCAUGAUGAUCUGGACGAGACUGAUGAAUCGGGGCAAAAACGCAGACCUGAAGACAUUCAAGCAGCACUUUGAGAACAAGCAUCCCAAGUCUCCAAAGGUCCCAGUACUGGUUGAUGUGCAGGCCUAAGUGACCACACACUCAAAUGGACCUACAGCUGGGAUAAGAUUCUUCCAUCAUUCACACACAGUAGACAUAGUAUAAACCAUGUUGUCAACAGUGUUGUCCUCAAUGCUUAAAUUGUAUUGUGUAUGGCUCAAUUGGUGGAAAUGCUGUGAUCACUCAUUGUCUUUAAUUGUGAUUCACAGACACAAAUUGACCACGAUUUGAAAUCUGCAACUGAGACAGAAUGAUGUCGAGGGACCCGCUGAGACCCCAUGUGUAACUGGACCUGGCUGGAUAUUUGUGACGACAACCUAUAAGGGAUGCAGAAGCACACCAGCACCCAAUUUUAUGUUUAUUCCAUGGCCAACCAUCCCUCUAGCAACCCCUUAUUCCACACUGCCUUUUAUGCCCCAUGGUCCCUCAACUUUGGACACUUUGGAACUCUCCAUCUCAUCUACCUUCAUCCAUUUUCCCUAUGCUGCUUCCUUCACUCCUCCUGAUUUGAUAACCUCUAGACUGUGACACGUUUAAAAGUGUUGUUGUGUACUGUUUUUGCCAGCUUUUUUUUUUACUCUGGUGAUGCUGUCUUCCUGCUUAUUCCGAGGUUCAGAUUGAAUACAGUGGUAAAUGUGCUGCUCACAAUUGAUAGCAGCAACAUUGACUUGUUAAAUUGACAAGAAAGCUGUUGAUAUAGUUGCGUUUCGGCAUGUCUUCCUUGUUUUGAGUGUGUUUCUCAUUCUGCUGGAGUUGACCUAGUAUUUAUAUUAAACCUGCCUUAUGCAUUCAGUUGGUUCUCCGUUUGUAACUCACCCACCAAAAAUCACUGCUGUUUUACAUUUUUUAUUUUUGCUGCUCUAAUUUCUAAAAUAGAAAAGCAGAAGAAUCUGUGUGCUCUCUGGUAGAAGAGCACCAUAUGAACGGUUUACUAUGUCCCAGGUUUGUGGCAUUGAUUAAUAUAAUUACAUUAACUCAGCUGUUUAUAUGUUUACAAGGCAUUGUUUGCUAUUUUGAUUUCUUUAAAACAAUGUGAUGGCUGGAGUUCGGGUGAUUGGAGGACUAGGUGCAUUCUUGUCAAAUAAAUAUGCUUAUUCAUU
Long non-coding RNA from Oncorhynchus tshawytscha (Chinook salmon), 1676 nucleotides. RefSeq lists it as uncharacterized. Lineage: Eukaryota; Metazoa; Chordata; Actinopteri; Salmoniformes; Salmonidae. The record is from RefSeq and is a predicted model, not a curated record. The transcript is spliced from 2 exons.